AUUUAAAUAGCUUAUGGAGAGCAUAAUAUUGAAGAUAUUAAGGAAGUUUAAAACUUUUAAAUA
This 63-nucleotide transfer RNA is filed under the name Aristobrotica sp. REN-2018. RNAcentral's name for it is "tRNA-Phe". Lineage: Eukaryota; Metazoa; Arthropoda; Insecta; Coleoptera; Chrysomelidae. The record is from RNAcentral.